AUUCAAUCUAAACCACCUAUAUGGCAAAGCAAACAUCCACACCACAAUAAUCGCAUAAUAACAAGAAAGUUAUGGAGUGAAAUAAAAGAACAAUUUCCUAAAAGUGAAGAAAAACAACUGCGUAAGAAGUGGAAGAAUCUGCGCGAUCAGUAUCGAAAAGAAAAAAAGAAAUUCCCUACGCCGCGCUCUGGUGACGGUGGCGAUGAAAUAGAGAGCACAUGGCCAUACUUUCAACUUAUGCAAUUCAUAAACGAUGACAUUACACCGGAAGUCAUGACGGGAAAUCUGCAUGACAGUGAUUCGGAAUCCCUCAACGAGUCUUGUCAAACUGAGCAAUCGAACACUGCUGACGUGAUGAGUCCAUGUACAUCAACCUGCAGCAGUCACACAAACGCGUUAAAGCGCAACAAAACGGCAUCAGAUUAUAGAGAUGAACUUAUAGAAUGCGAAAGAAAAAAAAUUUUGCUAAUUGAACAGAAAAUGGCGUGAAAUAGUGACCAGUCGGAGAAAUGUGAUGAUUAUCAUUUUUUUAUGAGUCUCCUACCACAAAUGAAAAAGUUUGGUGAAUUACAAAAGUUACGCAUUCGAAAUAAAAUUACCCAAAUCAUAAUAGAUGAGGCAGAAAGAAUGCAGUUUUCUCAACCGAGAUACGAAGAAAAUUAUGGAGGAUAUAUUACUGGCAACUACCCUAAUUAUUAAUUUGAUUAUUAAAACUUUUUACUUACC
Long non-coding RNA from Pieris napi, 726 nucleotides. RefSeq lists it as uncharacterized. The transcript has 2 exons. The record is from RefSeq and is a predicted model, not a curated record. NCBI's taxonomy places the organism in Eukaryota, Metazoa, Arthropoda, Insecta, Lepidoptera, Pieridae.